This 493-nucleotide ribosomal RNA is filed under the name uncultured bacterium. RNAcentral describes it as "partial 16S ribosomal RNA". It matches the Rfam family "Bacterial small subunit ribosomal RNA", at positions 28 to 507 of the family's 1533-position model. The record is from RNAcentral.
GACGAACGCUGGCGGCGUGCCUAACACAUGCAAGUUGAGCGACGAACCAGGGCUUGCCCUGGGGCAAAGCCGCGAACGGGUGAGUAACACGUGGGUAACCUACCCCGAUAACCGGGACAACCCGAGGAAACUCGGGCUAAUACCGGAUGUGCUCACUGGACUUCGGUUCAGUGCGUAAAGGAAGCUUCGGCCUCCGUAUCGGGAGGGGCCCGCGGCCCAUUAGUUUGUUGGUGAGGUAACGGCUCACCAAGACCGCGAUGGGUAGCUGGUCUGAGAGGACGAUCAGCCACACUGGGACUGAGACACGGCCCAGACUCCUACGGGAGGCAGCAGUGGGGAAUCUUGAGCAAUGCGCGAAAGCGUGACGCAGCAACGCCGCGUGGGGGAAGAAGGCCUUCGGGUUGUAAACCCCUUUCAGGAGGGACGAAGGUUCGGCGGUGAAUAGCCGUCCGGACUGACGGUACCUCCACAAGAAGCCCCGGCUAACUACGUG